Molecule: ribosomal RNA, 253 nt
Filed under: uncultured bacterium
Lineage: Bacteria
Description: partial 16S ribosomal RNA
Rfam family: Bacterial small subunit ribosomal RNA
Source: RNAcentral
UACGUAGGGCGCAAGCGUUGUCCGGAAUUAUUGGGCGUAAAGAGCUCGUAGGCGGCUUGUCACGUCGGGUGUGAAAGCCCGGGGCUUAACCCCGGGUCUGCAUUCGAUACGGGCUAGCUAGAGUGUGGUAGGGGAGACUGGAAUUCCUGGUGUAGCGGUGAAAUGCGCAGAUAUCAGGAGGAACACCGGUGGCGAAGGCGGGUCUCUGGGCAGUAACUGACGCUGAGGAGCGAAAGCGUGGGGAGCGAACAGG